This 327-nucleotide ribosomal RNA is filed under the name uncultured Pseudomonadota bacterium. RNAcentral describes it as "bacterial SSU rRNA". It matches the Rfam family "Bacterial small subunit ribosomal RNA", at positions 30 to 351 of the family's 1533-position model. Lineage: Bacteria; Pseudomonadati; Pseudomonadota. The record is from RNAcentral.
AUUGAACGCUGGCGGCAUGCCUAACACAUGCAAGUCGAACGGCAGCAUAGUCUAGCUUGCUAGACUGAUGGCGAGUGGCGAACGGGUGAGUAACGCGUAGGAAUAUACCUUAAAGAGGGGGACAACUUGGGGAAACUCAAGCUAAUACCGCAUAAGCUCUUAGGAGUAAAGCUGGGGACCUUUGGGCCUGGCGCUUUAAGAAUAGCCUGCGUACGAUUAGCUAGUUGGUGGGGUAAAGGCCUACCAAGGCGACGAUCGUUAGCUGGUCUGAGAGGAUGGUCAGCCACACUGGAACUGAGACACGGUCCAGACUCCUACGGGUGGCUG